GGGAUAACUCGCCGAAAGGCGAGCUAAUACCGCAUGACAUUCCGAAGACCUCGGUCUUUGGACUCAAAGCCCGCAAGGGCGUCUGAGGAGGAGCCCGCGCCCGAUUAGCUAGUUGGUGAGGUAACGGCUCACCAAGGCAAUGAUCGGUAGCCGGUCUGAGAGGAUGGCCGGCCACACUGGAACUGAGACACGGUCCAGACUCCUACGGGAGGCAGCAGUGGGGAAUAUUGCGCAAUGGGCGAAAGCCUGACGCAGCGACGCCGCGUGGGGGAUGAAGCUUCUCGGAGUGUAAACCCCUUUCGACCCGGAAGAAUGACCCGCAAGGGUUUGACGGUACGGGUAUAAGAAGCCCCGGCUAACUACGUGCCAGCAGCCGCGGUAAUACGUAGGGGGCCAGCGUUGCUCGGAAUUACUGGGCGUAAAGGGUUCGUAGGCGGUGCGGCAAGUCGGGAGUGAAAUCUCUGGGCUUAACUCAGAGGCUGCUUUCGAAACUGCCGUGCUCGAGUGCGGGAGAGGCCAGUGGAAUUGCAGGUGUAGCGGUGAAAUGCGUAGAUAUCUGCAGGAACACCCGUGGCGAAGGCGGCUGGCUGGACCGCAACUGACGCUGAGGAACGAAAGCUAGGGGAGCAAACAGGAUUAGAUACCCUGGUAGUCCUAGCCCUAAACCAUCAGGACUUGGGGUGGCCCGCGUAGGCGGGUCGUCCCGUAGCUAACGCGUUAAGUCCUGCGCCUGGGGAGUACGGUCGCAAGACUGAAACUCAAAGGAAUUGACGG
Molecule: ribosomal RNA, 774 nt
Filed under: uncultured bacterium
Lineage: Bacteria
Description: bacterial SSU rRNA
Rfam family: Bacterial small subunit ribosomal RNA
Source: RNAcentral